ACCUAAAUAGCUUAUUUAGAGUAUGACAUUGAAGAUGUUAGGGAAAUAGUUUUAUUUUUAGGUA
RNAcentral lists this transfer RNA (64 nucleotides) under Celes akitanus. RNAcentral's name for it is "tRNA-Phe". Lineage: Eukaryota; Metazoa; Arthropoda; Insecta; Orthoptera; Acrididae. The record is from RNAcentral.